CUCUCCUACAUCCUGCUGCGAAUCCUUUUCCAUCGGCGCGAUCCCAUACUACUCCUACUCAGUGAAUUUGCUCUCUACCUUCUAAUCAGCUUGUUUUUGACGAAUCGUCAAUACAGAAGAUGAAUACGCAAGAUCCGUUACAUAGCCCAGUACCGAAGUGGCCAACAAGGUUGAACUCAGCGACUUUGCAGAUACCGUAACCAAAGGUUGCUGUUCAAUAGUUUAACGCGAAGAUGCAAACGUCUGCUCAAGCCACAGCUAGCCAUCGCAACUAAAUGCUGCAGAAGUUUUCUACAAGCAUCAUUAUAGGAAACGAUAAUGAUGUUCGAGAUGAUCAGUUGGCUACACCCGGACGUAAGAAAAUCGGUACGGGGAGACGCAGCUCAUGUUAAACUGCUAUAAAAGCAAAUUUCUAGUUCGUCAGCUAACACCUGCAAAGCUCUAGCAGACUUGCAAUACGACAAAGACAAACGCACACUCACACUUGAGCAAAAAAUUCAUGCGUAAUUGGCAUAGCUAUAACACUGUCAGUCAUAAAUCGAUGAACUUUUCAUUUAACUUGAUCCUGUAAGUGAUUUAUAAUGAAAAUAAAAUUUGUAAUAAAGAA
Nasonia vitripennis (jewel wasp) is the source of this 607-nucleotide long non-coding RNA. RefSeq lists it as uncharacterized. Lineage: Eukaryota; Metazoa; Arthropoda; Insecta; Hymenoptera; Pteromalidae. The record is from RefSeq and is a predicted model, not a curated record. The transcript is spliced from 2 exons.